GGGACUGUAAAUGAAAUUAAACCGGGAAAGAAAAAACGAAGCACAAAGCUAAAGAAAGAAUGGCGGCCUGAUGAUAAGAGUUCGCCAUUGAAUAAGAAGGAAAGAAGAAGAAUAAGAGCCACCAAAAAAUAAAGAGAUGCAACCAAUAAAACAAGCAAGCAAAUCCAGGAGAGCAUUACUAUUUUCCAAACUUGUCUUCAAUUACAACAACAGUGCUCUAUCUCAAUCCUCUUCUUCUCUGUUCAACAAUAACAAUGGCACAAGAUUACCAUUCUUGUGUUAUUACCAUUACUAUUCAACAUUAUCUACAAUUCCAAUUCAACAAAUCAAUUUCCACCCCAACUAUACUUACAAGCACGUUGUCCAGUCUUUUAAAGAGUGGUUCAAGACCCAAAACAAUGGAUUCUUGGAUCGAGUUUUCGAGAUCUUAAGCAACCAAGAUGAAGUUGAUGAGCUUGCCCUUUCCCAGUUGGGUCUUCGUUUAACAGAAUCGUUGGUUCUUGAUGUUCUCCAUUAUGGUAAUUCCAAAAAAGACGUUCUUUCUUGCCUUAAAUUCUUUGAUUGGGCUGGUCGCCAAUCUGGGUUUUACCACACUCGCGCCACUUUUCAUGCUAUUUUCAAGAUUUUGUCUAAAGCUAAGCUUAUGCAACUUAUGCUUGAUUUUCUUGAUAAUUAUAUGAAGCAUAGGUUUGCUAAUCAUAAACUUGGAUAUGGGUUUUAUAGUACUUUAAUUAUGGGUUAUUCUGUUGCUGGUAAGCCUCAAGUUGCACUUCAAUUGUUUGGUAAAAUGAGGUUUCUAGGUCGUGAUUUGGAUGCUUUUGCUUAUCAUAUUCUUCUUAAUUCUUUGGUUGAAGAGUGCUGUUUCGAUGCUGUUGAUGACAUUGCUAAGCAGAUUUCUAUUAGGGGUUUUGAGAGUCAUAUAACACAUUCUAUUGUUGUUAAGAGCUUUUGUAAGCAGAGGAUGUUGGAUGAAGCUGAGGCAUAUUUGCGCCGCAUGAUCCUACAGGGUGAAAGUGGUAACGGGGCUGCUGUAGGUAUUCUUGUGGGUGCAUUUUGUCAAAAAGAUCAGUUUGAGAAGGCUGGUCAGUUAAUUGAGGAAUUUAGGGAGUUGAGAGUGGUGCCUCUGUAUCCUGCUUAUGGCGUGUGGCUUCGGAAUUUAGUUCAAAAAGGUAAGCUUGAUGGGGCUUUGGACUUCUUUCAGCAAAAGAAAACUUUAGAAAGCUAUGUUCCAGAGAUUUUCCAUUAUAAUGCUUUACUGUGCAGGCUCUUGAAAGAGAACCGACUCACAGAAGCCUGUGAUUUGUUGAUGGAGAUGAUGGAAGAUGGUUUUUCUCCUGAUAAGGUCACCAUGAAUGCUGCAUUAUCUUUCUUUUGUAAAGCUGGAAUGGUGGAUGUUGCGCUUGACUUGUACAAUUGCAAAUCAGAAUUUGGCCUCUCACCUAGUACCAUGACUUGUAAUUAUCUCAUCAAUUCUUUAUGCAGAGAGGGUAACGUUGAUGAUGCAUACCAUGUGUUGAAGAGUUCUUCUGAGCAUGGUUAUUUCCCAGGUAAAAGAGCAUUUUCCAUGCUUACUGAUGCUUUACAUAGAGAAGGAAAGGUUGAAAUGAUGAACGAACUGUUUUUUUGGGCUCUGGAGCGCAAUUUCAUUCCAAGUGAUUCCAUGUAUGAUAAGUUUAUAUCUGCUCUUUGCAAGGCUAGGAGGUUAGAAGAUGGGUACUUGAUACAUGGAGAACUUAACCGAUUUAAUAGAGUAGCUAAAAAGAGUACUUACUCAAAUUUGAUUCAUGGUUUUAACAAAUUCAACAGGGGGGAUAUUGCUGCUAGGCUUCUUAUCGAAAUGCAAGAUAAGGGUCAUUUGCCUGCUCGUACUUUGUUCAGAGCAGUCAUUCGUAGUCUAUGUGAAAUGGACGACCCAGAAACACGAUUUUUCAACUAUUUAGAUAUGCAACUAUCUCGUCGUGAUCCUAACUGUCAGAUAUAUAACUUCUUUAUCGAUGGAGCUGGGCACGCAAAGAAGCCUGAUAUCGCCAGAAAAGUAUUUGAAAUGAUGCAGAGAAGUGGGAUCGAACCUAAUCAGAGUACUAACAUUCUUAUGUUACAGAGUUAUUUAAAGAGUGAGAGAAUAUCUGAUGCUCUUAAUUUUUUUGAUGCUGUGGGCCAAAGAAGGAAGAUUGGCAGAAAGCUAUACAACACCAUGGUUGUUGGUCUUUGCCAAGUCAACAAAGUGGAUUCUGCAUUGUCCUUCUUCUUGGAAAUGCAGAGUAAUGGAAUGGUUCCUAGUGUUGAGUGUUAUGAGGUUCUUAUAAUGCUACUUUGCUCAAAUAAAAGAUAUAGUACGGCGAUAACUCUUAUUACUGACUUGGAGAAAUUCGGGCGUCGUGUUACAUCCUUUAUCGGUAACAUACUUUUGUUACAUUCCUUGAAAAGCGACGAGCUCUAUGAUGCAUGGCUUCAAGUGAGAGAGGUGCAGAAUGAGACUUCUCUGAAUCUUUUAAUCCUUGGCCAGAUAAUUGGAGCAUUUGCAGGGCGUCUUAAGCUGAGCCAACAAAUUGACAACUUGGAAGAAGUGAUUGAACAGUGCUUCCCACUCGACCUCUAUACUUACAAUAUGUUGAUGAGAAGACUAAGCAUGAGUAACAUUGAUCAUGCUCGUGAGUUGUUUGAUAGAAUAUGUCAGAAGGGUUAUGAGCCAAAUCACUGGACGUAUGAUAUCUUAGUGCAUGGCCUUUUUAAGAAUGGAAGAAUAGGCGAGGCAAGGAGAUGGGUGGAUGAAAUGUUCAGGAAAGGGUUUAGUCCAAGUGGUCGUACCAAAAGCCUCAUGUAACUGAUGUAGUUUAUGGUCAAUAGCUGAAUGCACCUCUUUUGGAGAAAGUGCGUGCAGAUAAAAGAAAACCCCAAGUAUUAUAGAGCAGAGGAGCCUCAUUCCUAUCUAUUAUGGUCAAUCAAAGCAUGUUAAGUAGAGGGUUUAACUUGGCAAAUGUUUGCUUGGAUUUCAUAAGCUUCUAUGGACAUGGUAUCAUUGACAGUUGUAUUGCAAUAGGCUUGUUGAAAUGCCAGCUUAGAGUUGGGCUUGGCUGCUAUACAAUUUGCAUCAGGAGAGAGCAAAUUCUAAUGGGGGAAACGAAUGAAACCAUCAGUACACCCUUCUGAUGUUAACCCAUCAUUAGUAGUUGGUGUAGUCAUAAAUACACCCUUCUGAUGUUUUCUUCUUUUCUUUUUCUUUUCAGUAACAGAUGCAUAUUGGGUUCUUAUGAACUACAGAUGACACAAGUAAAAUUGUUGGGUUUUAGGUACAGUUGAGUCUUGCCAAUCAACUUGGGAAAGAGUGCUAUCAACUGGCCGAAUAAAGGCAUAGGGGCCUUGAUCAAUUCCUAUACUUUGGAAACGAAAGGAAGCUUACAGUUGCCACUGCCACUUCUACUAAAAGGAAGAUCGACCUGGUUAAUACUAUAUGCAGGAACCUGUUGUUAACCGCAAUUAGAAGCAGGGUCAGAAGUUUUUAACCUCAUUUUGGUUUGCAGAUAAUAGCCAAGGCGAGGCGGGCAUCAACAACACAACAAAUUCCAUAGCUGCGUGUCAAGUCUCAAAUCAACAUGGCCACUCAGCAAAAUUUCUGCAUUCAGCAACAUCAAUUAGACAUGCAAGAAAGGAAAAUUUGGCUUUAGAUCUCACCGUGCUGCUGGCAGUCCUGCAAACUUGUUAUUUCGUACAGAGGACACCAGAUCACAGUAGUGUAUUACUGAACAGAUAAUUUUGAGAGAACAAAUUUAUAUCAA
This is an RNA transcript of Ricinus communis (castor bean), 3776 nucleotides long. It is a transcript of the gene named pentatricopeptide repeat-containing protein At1g71210, mitochondrial, with no coding region annotated. Lineage: Eukaryota; Viridiplantae; Streptophyta; Magnoliopsida; Malpighiales; Euphorbiaceae. The transcript has 3 exons. The record is from RefSeq and is a predicted model, not a curated record.